RNAcentral lists this transfer RNA (64 nucleotides) under Alloeorhynchus sp. RNAcentral describes it as "tRNA-Thr". Lineage: Eukaryota; Metazoa; Arthropoda; Insecta; Hemiptera; Nabidae. The record is from RNAcentral.
GCCUUAGUAGUUUAAACAAAAACAAUGAUUUUGUAAGUCAUAAUUAGGUUAUACCUCUAAGGCU